CCUACGGGUUGCAGCAGUGGGGAAUAUUGCACAAUGGGCGCAAGCCUGAUGCAGCCAUGCCGCGUGUAUGAAGAAGGCCUUCGGGUUGUAAAGUACGUUCAGCGGGGAGGAAGGUGUUGUGGUUAGUAACCACAGCAAUUGACGUUACCCGCAGAAGAAGCACCGGCUAACUCCGUGCCGGCGGCCGCGGUAAUACGGAGGGUGCAAGCGUUAAUCGGAAUUACUGGGCGUAAAGCGCACGCAGGCGGUCUGUCAAGUCGGAUGUGAGAUCCCCGGGCUCAACCUGGGAACUGCAUUCGAAACUGGCAGGCUAGAGUCUUGUAGAUGGGGGUAGAAUUCCAGGUGUAGCGGUGAAAUGCGUAGAGAUCUGGAGGAAUACCGGUGGCGAAGGCGGCCCCCUGGACAAAGACUGACGCUCAAGUACGAAAGCGUGGGGAGCAAACAGGAUUAGAUACCCCAGUAGUC
This 465-nucleotide ribosomal RNA is filed under the name uncultured bacterium. RNAcentral's name for it is "bacterial SSU rRNA". It matches the Rfam family "Bacterial small subunit ribosomal RNA", at positions 338 to 795 of the family's 1533-position model. The record is from RNAcentral.